GGCCAUAGCUCAGAGGUAGAGCAUCUGUCUUGCAACCAGAAGGUCCCUGGUUCAAUCCCUGACAUCUCCA
Non-coding RNA from Podarcis lilfordi (Lilford's wall lizard), 70 nucleotides. The record is from the annotation of a GenBank genome assembly. NCBI's taxonomy places the organism in Eukaryota, Metazoa, Chordata, Lepidosauria, Squamata, Lacertidae.